RNAcentral lists this ribosomal RNA (253 nucleotides) under uncultured bacterium. RNAcentral's name for it is "partial 16S ribosomal RNA". It matches the Rfam family "Bacterial small subunit ribosomal RNA", at positions 524 to 776 of the family's 1533-position model. The record is from RNAcentral.
GACAGAGGGGGCGAGCGUUGUCCGGCAUCACUGGGCGUAAAGCGCGCGCAGGCGGCAACCUUAGCGUCGUGUGAAAGCCCCCGGCUCAACCGGGGGAGGCCAUGGCAAACUGGGUCGCUCGAGCUGCGGAGAGGCCCCUCGAAUUGCCGGUGUAGCGGUGAAAGGCGUAGAGAUCGGCAGGAAGACCAAGGGGGAAGCCAGGGGGCUGGCCGCAGGCUGACGCUGAGGCGCGACAGCGUGGGGAGCAAACCGG